Molecule: ribosomal RNA, 615 nt
Filed under: uncultured archaeon
Lineage: Archaea
Description: bacterial SSU rRNA
Rfam family: Archaeal small subunit ribosomal RNA
Source: RNAcentral
AUACCGGAUAGAGCAUUGAUAGCUGGAAUGCACGAUGCUCGAAAGCUGAGGCGCCAAAGGGUAGGUCUGCGGCCGAUUAGGUUGUUGUUGAUGUAAUGGAUCAACAAGCCUCCGAUCGGUAUGGGUUGUGAGAGCAAUAUCCCAGAGAUGGGUUCUGAGAAAAGAACCCAGGUCCUACGGGACGCAUCAGGCGCGAAAACUUUACAAUGUGCGAAAGCACGAUAAGGGAACUCUGAGUGCCUCCAAAGGAGGCUGUUCAGGUGUCUAAAAAGCAUCUGAAGUAAGGGCUGGGCAAGACCGGUGCCAGCCGCCGCGGUAACACCGGCAGCCCAAGUGGUGGCCACUUUUACUGGGUCUAAAGCGUUCGUAGCCGGCCAUGUAAGUUCCUUGGGAAAUUUGACCGCUUAACGGUUAAGCUUCCAGGGAAUACUGCUUGGCUUGGGACCGGGAGAGGUCAGAGGUACCUCAAGGGUAGGGGUGAAAUCCGUUAAUCCUUGGGGGACCGCCAGUAGCGAAGGCGUCUGACCAGACCGGAUCCGACGGUGAGGGACGAAGGCUAGGGUAGCGAACCGGAUUAGAUACCCGGGUAGUCCUAGCUGUAAACGAUGCGGGCUA